UCAGGGCAGAAGGCUUUUGUUCCAAAGCCCCUCUGACCUGAACGCACACACUCACAGCGUGCCCUGUAUCUGGCUCAGAAGCCGUCGCUCCGAAGAAGAUGACUGUCCCCUGUGAGGAACUGUCGUGGGAAUGAGGCGAUAGGACUGGUUGAAGGAAAUGCUAAGAAGCUCUCUCCUUUGUGGACUGAGGGACCAGCUUCAACACCAGAGGGGUGCAAUCCCAGCAGAAAAGGAACACUGUCUCUAAUGUUGCAACAAAGUAACCAGCAUGAAGUUAGCAAGAAGAAAUCACGGUUGCAGCUGCUGAACACUGAUCCCUACCUGCUUUAAACUUAGAUCCAGAACGGAGCCGGCACAGUGACUUACGUCACUCCCACUGGCUUAAGAGAACAGAGAAUGACAUAUAGACAAGAUGCUACCUCCCAUGGAAAGGCCCCUAUACAUAAAGUCACUUUAUUUCUCUGUCACUUCCCUGAAAAUAAUUUAUGUAAUUAUGCUGUUAAUGAAGUCUAACAACUCAAGGUUUGUUUAUUGACUAUUACUUAAUGCUACCAAAGCAUGUGUGAAUACCCUCCCACAAGAUGGCACCUGUUGAUUCUCCUUCAUAGUAAAGAUAAGAGAUUCCAACCACUCCCUCUCCUAUGCCCACUCCCAGAUAUGUGUAAUUUCUUCCCACUCCUUCCAGUCUCAGAAGGGGUAAGAUGAACUGAGAAGGGACCCUAUUUGUACAAAUAGGUUUCAGGAUGUUGUCAUAUGUGCUUCCUGGGACUCUGUGGUAAUAAGAGCUGUUUUAAGGUCACUCAUGCAUAAACCCCCAUCCACGAUUUGAUAAAUAAACCCACCGUCCAACCAAUCAAAAAUGCUAAAGUAGGGAGAAAUUGUUCUUCCUUUUUGUUGAUGCCAGUGCCCUAGCCAAGGUGAAUAGACGUUUGUUCAAGCUGUUGCUGUAAAAGAUACUGUGAUGUUCAUUUGUAAAUAUCAUCAGAGUUACUCCUACAGGUCGACUCUCUGUGUAAGACACUAAAAAUGGAUAAUACUCAUCAAGUUUCUCAUGUGUCCAUUAACACAUUGUCUUCUAGAAUCAAUCCUCAUUUCCAUUUGCAGAUGUAUUCUUGUCUGUCAGGGUGUGAUGUCUAGAACAGUGGUUACCUCUUAGUCUAAAAGGCUCAUUCUGGACCAAGAUGACUGCAUUCCAUUAGUUACAGGGA
This 1208-nucleotide long non-coding RNA is filed under the name Mus musculus (house mouse). Lineage: Eukaryota; Metazoa; Chordata; Mammalia; Rodentia; Muridae. The record is from RNAcentral.